RNAcentral lists this long non-coding RNA (231 nucleotides) under Nicotiana benthamiana. Its description in RNAcentral is "long non-coding RNA (NBEN_LNC034237)". Lineage: Eukaryota; Viridiplantae; Streptophyta; Magnoliopsida; Solanales; Solanaceae. The record is from RNAcentral.
GGCAUGGUACUUGGUACAAUCUUUCUUCACAUGAUUAGUCCCCUUACAGAAGAAGCAACCUAGUUCAGUAAUUUCAACCUUAGGUUCCUUAUGUUGCUUAAUCUUGGGCUUCGCAACGCAACUUCCUUACCUUUCCUCUUCUUAGUUUCCUUAGAAGAGGAUGCGAAAUGAGCACUUUCUGUCUUAUCUAGCUUUAUCCUUUCCUCUUCUUGCACACAAUGUGAAAUGNNN